ACGGGUGAGUAACACGUAGGAAUCUGCCCUGAAGAGCGGGACAACCCGAGGAAACUCGGGCUAAUACCGCAUACUAUUCUUAGGAAGAAAGGCUGGGGAAACCUGGCGCUUUAGGAGGAGCCUGCGUCCGAUUAGCUAGUUGGUAGGGUAAAGGCCUACCAAGGCGAUGAUCGGUAGCUGGUCUGAGAGGAUGACCAGCCACACUGGGACUGAGACACGGCCCAGACUCCUACGGGAGGCAGCAGUGGGGAAUAUUGGACAAUGGGGGCAACCCUGAUCCAGCAAUGCCGCGUGUGUGAAGAAGGCCUUCGGGUUGUAAAGCACUUUAGGGUGGGAAGAAGUUGCGUAGUUUAAGAGAUGAUGCAAUUGACGGUACCACCAGAAUAAGCACCGGCUAACUCUGUGCCAGCAGCCGCGGUAAUACAGAGGGUGCGAGCGUUAAUCGGAAUUACUGGGCGUAAAGGGCGCGUAGGUGGUUUAGUAAGUUGGAUGUGAAAUCCCUGGGCUUAACCUAGGAACUGCAUCUAAGACUGCUGAACUGGAGUGCGGUAGAGGGUAGUGGAAUUUCCGGU
This 572-nucleotide ribosomal RNA is filed under the name uncultured bacterium. RNAcentral describes it as "bacterial SSU rRNA". It matches the Rfam family "Bacterial small subunit ribosomal RNA", at positions 102 to 674 of the family's 1533-position model. The record is from RNAcentral.